RNAcentral lists this long non-coding RNA (1210 nucleotides) under Salmo salar (Atlantic salmon). Its description in RNAcentral is "lncRNA (ENSSSAG00000090341.1)". The record is from RNAcentral. Lineage: Eukaryota; Metazoa; Chordata; Actinopteri; Salmoniformes; Salmonidae.
UGGUCCUCCUGGUGGUUUAACUACAAUGUUAGCUGUAGGCCAGUCCUCUGGUCCUCCUGGUGUUAUAACUACAAUGUUAGCUGUAGGCCAGCCCUCUGGUCCUCCUGGUGGUUUAACUACAAUGUUAGCUGUAGGCCAGUCCUCUGGUCCUCCUGCUGUUAUAACUACAAUGUUAGCUGUAGGCCAGUCCUCUGGUCCUCCUGGUGGUUUAACUACAAUGUUAGCUGUAGGCCAGCCCUCUGGUCCUCCUGCUGUUAUAACUACAAUGUUAGCUGUAGGCCUGUCCUCUGGUCCUCCUGGUGGUUUAACUACAAUGUUAGCUGUAGGCCAGCCCUCUGGUCCUCCUUGUGGUUUAACUACAAUGUUAGCUGUAGGCCAGCCCUCUGGUCCUCCUGCUGUUAUAACUACAAUGUUAGCUGUAGGCCUGCCCUCUGGUCCUCCUGCUGUUAUAACUACAAUGUUAGCUGUAGGCCAGCCCUCUGGUCCUCCUUGUGGUUUAACUACAAUGUUAGCUGUAGGCCAGCCCUCUGGUCCUCCUGGUAGUUUAACUACAAUGUUAGCUGUAGGCCUGCCCUCUGGUCCUCCUGGUGGUUUAACUACAAUGUUAGCUGUAGGCCAGCCCUAUGGUCCUCCUGGUGGUUAUAACUACAAUGUUAGCUGUAGGCCAGCCCUCUGGUCCUCCUGCUGUUAUAACUACAAUGUUAGCUGUAGGCCUGCCCUCUGGUCCUCCUGCUGUUAUAACUACAAUGUUAGCUGUAGGCCUGCCCUCUGGUCCUCCUGCUGUUAUAACUACAAUGUUAGCUGUAGGCCUGUCCUCUGGUCCUCCUGGUGGUUUAACUACAAUGUUAGCUGUAGGCCAGCCCUCUGGUCCUCCUGGUGUUGUAACUACAAUGUUAGCUGUAGGCCUGUCCUCUGGUCCUCCUGGUGGUUUAACUACAAUGUUAGCUGUAGGCCUGUCCUCUGGUCCUCCUGGUGGUUUAACUACAAUGUUAGCUGUAGGCCUGCCCUCUGGUCCUCCUGGUGGUUUAACUACAAUGUUAGCUGUAGGCCUGUCCUCUGGUCCUCCUGCUGUUAUAACUACAAUGUUAGCUGUAGGCCUGUCCUCUGGUCCUCCUGCUGUUAUAACUACAAUGUUAGCUGUAGGCCAGCCCUCUGGUCCUCCUGCUGUUAUAACUACAAUGUUAGCUGUAGGCCUGUCCUCUGGUCCUCC